RNAcentral lists this ribosomal RNA (221 nucleotides) under uncultured bacterium. Its description in RNAcentral is "partial 16S ribosomal RNA". It matches the Rfam family "Bacterial small subunit ribosomal RNA", at positions 524 to 743 of the family's 1533-position model. The record is from RNAcentral.
UACGGAGGGUGCGAGCGUUGUCCGGAAUCACUGGGCGUAAAGGGCGCGUAGGCGGCUCAUGAAGGCUGUGGUGAAAGUCCGGGGCUCAACCUCGGAUCGGCCGUGGCGACUCGUGGGCUGGAGCACUGUAGAGGCGGGUGGGAAUUCCGGGUGUAGCGGUGGAAUGCGUAGAGAUCCGGAAGAACACCGGUGGCGAAGGCGGUCUGCUGGGGUCGAACUGA